CCUACGGGUGGCAGCAGUGAGGAAUAUUGGUCAAUGGGCGGGAGCCUGAACCAGCCAAGUCGCGUGAAGGAUGACUGCCCUACGGGUUGUAAACUUCUUUUAUAAAGGAAUAAAGUGAGGCACGUGUGCCUUUUUGUAUGUACUUUAUGAAUAAGGAUCGGCUAACUCCGUGCCAGCAGCCGCGGUAAUACGGAGGAACCGAGAGUUAUCCGGAUUUAUUGGGUUGAAAGGGAGCGUAGAUGGGUUGUUAAGUCAGUUGUGAAAGUUUGCGGCUCAACCGUAAAAUUGCAAUGGAUACUGGCAGCCUGGAGUACAGGUGAGGUAGGCGGAAUUCGUGGUGUAGCGGUGAAAUGCGUAGAUAUCACGAAGAACGCCGAUGGCGAAGGCAGCCUACUAAACUGCCACUGACAUUGAUGCUCGAAAGUGUGGGUAUCAAACAGGAUUAGAUACCCGAGUAGUC
Molecule: ribosomal RNA, 460 nt
Filed under: uncultured bacterium
Lineage: Bacteria
Description: partial 16S ribosomal RNA
Rfam family: Bacterial small subunit ribosomal RNA
Source: RNAcentral